Molecule: ribosomal RNA, 260 nt
Filed under: uncultured bacterium
Lineage: Bacteria
Description: partial 16S ribosomal RNA
Rfam family: Archaeal small subunit ribosomal RNA
Source: RNAcentral
UACCAGCACCCCGAGUGGUCGGGACGAUUAUUGGGCCUAAAGCAUCCGUAGCCGGUCCUGCAAGUCUUCCGUUAAAUCCAGCUGCUCAACAGAUGGGCUGCGGAAGAUACUAUAGGGCUAGGAGGCGGGAGAGGCAAGCGGUACUCAGUGGGUAGGGGUAAAAUCCUCUGAUCCAUUGAAGACCACCAGUGGCGAAGGCGGCUUGCCAGAACGCGCUCGACGGUGAGGGAUGAAAGCUGGGGGAGCAACCGGGAUUAAGA